UGAGGAAUAUUGGUCAAUGGACGGAAGUCUGAACCAGCCAAGUAGCGUGCAGGAUGACGGCCCUAUGGGUUGUAAACUGCUUUUGUAUGGGGAUAAAGUUAGGGACGUGUCCCUAUUUGCAGGUACCAUACGAAUAAGGACCGGCUAAUUCCGUGCCAGCAGCCGCGGUAAUACGGAAGGUCCAGGCGUUAUCCGGAUUUAUUGGGUUUAAAGGGAGCGUAGGCUGGAGAUUAAGUGUGUUGUGAAAUGUAGACGCUCAACGUCUGAAUUGCAGCGCAUACUGGUUUCCUUGAGUACGCACAACGUUGGCGGAAUUCGUCGUGUAGCGGUGAAAUGCUUAGAUAUGACGAAGAACUCCGAUUGCGAAGGCAGCUGACGGGAGCGCAACUGACGCUUAAGCUCGAAGGUGCGGGUAUCAAACAGGAUUAGAUACCCUGGUAGUCCGCACAGUAAACGAUGGAUGCCCGCUGUUGGUACCUGGUAUCAGCGGCUAAGCGAAAGCAUUAAGCAUCCCACCUGGGGAGUACGCCGGCAACGGCG
This 540-nucleotide ribosomal RNA is filed under the name uncultured bacterium. Its description in RNAcentral is "bacterial SSU rRNA". It matches the Rfam family "Bacterial small subunit ribosomal RNA", at positions 355 to 896 of the family's 1533-position model. The record is from RNAcentral.